This 1376-nucleotide long non-coding RNA is filed under the name Fragaria vesca (wild strawberry). RNAcentral's name for it is "long non-coding RNA (FVES_LNC004770)". Lineage: Eukaryota; Viridiplantae; Streptophyta; Magnoliopsida; Rosales; Rosaceae. The record is from RNAcentral.
CUACAUCUAAAGUGACACUAAGCUUUUUGUUAUAUUGAUGUCCAUGAACUUUAGCAGGAUCUUCCUCCUCAUUUCAUUACCGCCAUCUUUUUGUCGGUUUUUCCCUAUGACAUAGGCUCUCUAUAAAGUGGAGCAAAAAUGGUCCAUAGUCUGACCUGCAAUGUAUUAAGAAACAGUGUUACUAAAUUUUUCACCCCAAUAAAACAGACAAGUAAUUUCUGACAAUAAAACUCUUUAAAGGAAGUUUAAAGGUACUUACGAUGUUUUCUUUUGUUGCAGGCAGGAUAAGAUAUCCUUCAGCUUGUAUCUUGCUUGAUAAACGUUUUGGUCCAGCAUCCAUCUUCUUGUUCUUUUCUCUUCAGCACUCAUCAUAGAGUAACCGUCAACCACUAUGCCUUGGCUGUCCUGCUUGUCAUAGUUUUCCCUCCAUUCCUCAGGGUCCAAGCCUUGGCUGAGAGGGUAUUUGGUGGAAUCAUAUACGCGUUUGAUGAACACCAUAAUGUGCUUCACCUGUUGGGUCCAACACACAAGUAAAUUACAACUCAAACAAACUAAGAGAACAAGCAACAAACAAAAAGCAGGGUAAGAAGUUUACUGCCCCCCAGUAAACUUCUUACCCUAAUAAAUCAGUUACAACUCACCACUGCCUUUGCAUUCUGAAAGUGGUUGUUGGUGUCGGCAGAGUAAUCUUUCCUUGGUGGUAGCAUUGAGUUCAGGUGAUAGAAGCAUCGAGCUUCGUUGUUAAUCAGGACCAAGGUAUAGUGGUGGCUGACCCCGGGAUGUAUCAGAAUGAAAACUAGGUCCUUACUGAAGAUGGACCACAUAGGAUUAAUAAUAGAAAGCUCUAUAUCCAAUUCAUUACAUUUGAAUUCCCCCUGUUUUCCUCCUCCAACUAGGAACUCCUUCAGUUUUUGUUCAUGUACCACCGCCGUGCGCUGUAUUUAUAAAAACAAGUAGUAAGAUUGUGUUAACUGAAAAAAAGUAACGGAGGAGACUGCGGUGCUGCGGCACGCCGCUAUUUCAGGUUUGACUACGUACUUACCGCUGCCUCUAUGUCUAGGAAUCCGACCGAGACAUUCUUCUUUUCCAUUUCCUCCUUCAACAUUGCGAGGUACACCGUGAUGGUCUGCAUGUAUAACAUAUACAAGUCACAAAUAAUUAUAACAAAGAAUACAUCUUAGGUUACUCAAACAUCAACUUUAUUGCGGUUAGUAAGACCAGUAAUUUUUUCUCACAUUAAAUGUAAUCUCUCCUUCUUGAAUUAUUCUCUUCAAGUCAUCUUUGGUAAUGUCAAUGAUACCAUCACAACACUCCCAAUACCAGAAACUGUGCAGACACAAAUAAGUCAUAAGCAAGUCAAACCAGGGAACUAAUUA